GAGGUGAGGCACGCCUGAGCACUUCCUUGCCUCUGCCAGGCAGGAAGGCUGGCCUACUGCGUGCACCAGAUGGGCUCCUCCUAGGUGUUCCUAGAUGAGAGUUAUCUAGGGCCUGAAGAAGGACAAAGGGACUCUGCUUCUGUCUUUACACCUCAUUGCUGCUGGCUGGGAUACCGGCCUCCAGACAAGGGUGUUUGCAGUCCCAGAAUGCGCUUUCCAAAUCAUGGCCGUGAAACCCUACCCUCUGAAGUUUCACAUAUUUCUUGGUGCUUGCGAUGUUUCUUCCUGUGACUUCAUUCUGUCCCGGUUGUGUUCUGUCUCAUUGCCCUCAUGCUGAGAAGGAAACAGAGACACUGAGCCUGAAGACAAGAGUGCAGAGCCAAGUAACACAAGCAGCUUGUACUUAAGGCCGUUGGCCUAGGGAAGAGAACACCUGGAUGGGUCAGUCCUGGCAACUGCAGACAGAAGCAUCGCUCAUGUUGUCAAGGGCAUGAGCCCCAUUACAGACCCGGAAGCUGGGCUUCCAGGAAGCCAAUGAUCUCACCAGAACCUGGUCUCACAGCCUACACUUGCUCCAGCUUGGGUUCUCGCUCAGAAACACAUUCUCAAUGGAAAUUUUAAUCUCCUACCCCCACACCCCUGCCCUGGAGCACUACAGACUCUCUGACACCCUGACUCCCUCUCAGGCUGGGAGGAGGAGGAAUCAUGGAGAUCCAAGAGCAAACCCUGUUUCCUUCCCUGCUUCCUUCCUCCCUCCAGUUUGUAUCUGUUCCUGGAAAUCCCUGUUGUACCUACCCACCCACCCACAUUGCCCCAGAAAAAUCCCAAGAGAGCUUCGCAACUCUAUUUAAACCCCCGCUGGAGCGCACGGAACCGCGUCGUCCUCCUAGCCCGCACUGGGUCUCCAUCUGGUUCGGGGGCUAUUUUGAUCUACCGGAUGCAGAUCAGCCGCUGAGAUCUGGGGCUGAGUGGCUAGAGCAACGCCUUUAUCUACAGAAGGACAAUUUAGAAACUAACGCAAAGCCCAGAGAACAAAUAAAUAAAUUCCUCUUUCUGUUCACA
This is a long non-coding RNA of Mesocricetus auratus (golden hamster), 1062 nucleotides long. RefSeq lists it as uncharacterized. The record is from RefSeq and is a predicted model, not a curated record. NCBI's taxonomy places the organism in Eukaryota, Metazoa, Chordata, Mammalia, Rodentia, Cricetidae. The transcript is spliced from 4 exons.